GGAUGUAAGGGCAAUCUGGUUGCAACAUCCGUCACCCCACUGAUAGCUAGAGUUGAUUCAGCUGAUCUGACUUCCUAAGUGGUUGCCCUCUUCCUCCCUCACCACUCCAUGUGCUUCCCUCCUGAAGCUGCAUGCUGAGAAUAGGAUGACCUUCCUCCAAAGAGGAGGAUCAUUCUUCAGUCAAGUGUACAGGAGUAACUAUGCUCCCCAGCUAGUACCUCCAGACAAGUUUUCAAGAUUCAUUUGUAGAACAUAGGGUAGUUAAGCUUCUGGACUCCAGACACGUCCAGAGGAGGCACUGCAUGUGGCAGUAUGCCUUUCUUU
Vulpes vulpes (red fox) is the source of this 324-nucleotide unclassified non-coding RNA. Its record names the gene 7SK. It matches the Rfam family "7SK RNA". From Rfam's summary of the family: 7SK was discovered as an abundant small nuclear RNA in the mid-70s but a possible function has only recently been suggested. The record is from Ensembl. NCBI's taxonomy places the organism in Eukaryota, Metazoa, Chordata, Mammalia, Carnivora, Canidae.